Molecule: ribosomal RNA, 1318 nt
Filed under: Dugesia subtentaculata
Lineage: Eukaryota; Metazoa; Platyhelminthes; Tricladida; Dugesiidae
Description: SSU rRNA
Rfam family: Eukaryotic small subunit ribosomal RNA
Source: RNAcentral
CGGAUGGCUCAUUAUAACAGCUAUGAUUUGAGAGAUUCUNUCAUUUUGCCAUGGGAUAACUGUGGUAAUUCUAGAGCUAAUAUCUAACAGAAUGCCGUGACUCACGAAGCGGCGGAUUUAUUAGAUCAAAAUCAACCUGGUGAAACCGGUUUUUUGAUGACUCUGGAUAAUUUUACUGAUCGUACGACCUUUGUGUUGACGACAUAUCUCUUGAAAUGGCUGACCUAUCAACUUUCGAUGGUAAGAUCAAAGCUUACCAUGGUUGUAACGGGUAACGGGGAAUCAGUGUUCGAUUCCGGAGAGGGAGCCUGAGAAACGGCUACCACAUCCWCGGAAGGCWGCAGGCGCGUAAAUUACCCAAUACCGGUUCGGUGAGGUAGUGACAAAAAAUAACAAUAUGGGCCCUAGUGGUUUCAUAAUUGCAAUGAGAACAUUUUAAAUACUUUAUCAAGUAUCAAUUGGAGGGCAAGUCUGGUUCCAGCUCCAAUAGCGUAUAUUAAAGUUGUUGCMGUUMMAAAGCUCGUHGUUSAAAUUGAGGAAAAAGAUGGUUUSAAAUCUUUGAUUGAAAGCAUCUUGUCCUUCGACGUCGUGUAUAUCUUUGAUGCUCUUUAAUGGGUGUUGAGGAUGACCGACAAGUUUACUUUGAAACAAUUAGAGUGCUUAAAGCAGGCUGAUGCUUGCAUAUUGUUGCMUGGAAUAAUAAAAUAAGACUUUGGUUUUAUUUUGUUGGUUUUCGAAACUGAAGUAAUGAUUAANAGAGACUGCCGGGGGCAUAUGUAUGCUGGUGCUAGAGGUGAAAUUCUUAGAUCAUCAGCAGACAGUCUACUGCGAAAGCAUUUGCCAAGAAUGUUUUCAUUAAUCAAGAACGAAAGUCAGAGGAUCGAAGACGAUCAGAUACCGUCCUAGUUCUGACCAUAAACUAUGCCAACUGACAGUUCGCGAAGGUAAUUUAAAUCUCCUUGCGAGAAGUCNCCGGGAAACCUAAGUCUAUGGGNUCCCGGGGAAGUAUGGUUGCAGAGACUCUACCCUGCUAAAUWGUACWUUUGUUUUAAAAUAGCAAAUGCUGCCUUNUUAGAGGAAUAAAUAGCGUUUAGCUWAAUGAAAAAGAGCWAUAACWCGUCUGUGAUGCCCUUAGAUGUCCGGGGCCGCAUGCGCGCUAUAAUGGCAGUACCAGCGAGUUUAAUUCCUAGCUAGAAAUGGCUGGGUAACCUGCUUAAUCACUGUCGUGUCAGGAAUAGUGGAUUGAAAUUAUUCCACUUGAACGAGGAAUUCCUAGUAAGUGCAAGUCACCUAUGUGCGCUGAUUACGUCCCUGCCCU